This is a non-coding RNA of Anas platyrhynchos (mallard), 23124 nucleotides long. NCBI's taxonomy places the organism in Eukaryota, Metazoa, Chordata, Aves, Anseriformes, Anatidae. The record is from RefSeq and is a predicted model, not a curated record.
ACUAAUGUUUCUGUUACCAUACAAUAUUUUAAAAUGAAAGCACUUUUUAUGUAGGACCUCAUUGUACCUAGAAUAAGCGGAUGAGAAAUACUGAAAAGAGCAAGUUGAUCGGAAUGAUUUUUUUUUUUAAAAAGGUGGGUCAGAGAACAAAUAGCCUGUGUAUGAGUGGACUUAGCUUAGGGUUUUUAUUGGUCCAAAAUAUCCCCGUGCAUCCACAUUUUAUAUUUGUGCACAUGUAUUUGCAUAGAGGAAAUGGACUGAUAUUUCUUUUUGUCUUUAAGAAUUCUGUACUUGCACAAAACAAUCUGGUGAGAAAGAGGCUUUUUUCUGUGCCCUUUUCUAAGGAUUUCAGUGUAUUUUGAUUUAGAACACUGCCUCCAUGAGUUGUUUGUUCCAAACCCUGAGCAUAAAUAACGAGUUUGACAUGUUAAUUCUGCUACGGUCUAUUACUACAGUCAGAAGUGCAGAAGAGGGAAUGGUAAUGAUACUUUGGCUAGGUUGAUUGUUUGGCUAGAAGAUUAUUUUGGACUAGCCUUUCUUAGUUUUCUGAGCUCUGUGCAUUCUGCUGUGGGGGAAACAGCACACGUAAAUACCAUUUGCAAAGACACUGCAGCUACUUGCAUUGUUAAAGGUCUAAUUUCACUGUAAUGGACAAAGUACUCUUUGGACUUGUCUCUGUAUGCUACUGUUGUUUUAGGGAUUUCCUUGGGUUUUGGUAGUAAAACAGUAUGAAUUUUAACCAACCAGAGUACGGUCAGCUUGAAAGAUGAAAACUGUUCAUAAAUUACAUGACCCCUGGCUUAUAGGUAUGGCAAACCUAUAGAAUGUUUCCCCCGGUUCACUGAGUGUGUAUUCAUUUCCAGUUAGCACUGGGAUUCCUCUGAAGAGUUCACCUUAUCGAGACACUGAAUGUAUGUGUGAAAUCUUGUAGACUGUUGUAUAUUUUACCUCUGACACAUGGCACUAUUGUCAACCCUUAAAAAUAGGGUAAUAACUUUAAAAUGCCACGAAGAUGUUUAUUUCUUUGGCACCUAGGAGAGUACAUAUGCCACAAAUUCUGUCUUUACAUGAUGUUAAAACAUGUAUGCUUCAGGAGAAGCUAUGAAAACCGGUGUGAGAAGAGCUAUCCAUUUGCUUUGAACUAGUAUUAAUUUUGACAGUUUUUCAGGGAAGCGUUUUUUAAGUAGACUAAUUUCUCUGAACAGGUCUCAAAAGUGAACAGUAGCAAUUACUUUUAAAAUAGUAGUUAUUGGACAUGGAACUGUUCUGGCAACAACUAACUACUUCAAAAAGCAGAAAUAUUUAAAAGGACUUUUUACAUCAGCUUUUCAUGAACAGUGUUUAUAAGGACGGAUAGAAAUAGUUAUUUAUCAGCUAAUGUUCUAAUUUGCCUGUGUUUUUUCUUAAACAAUUGUCCUACUUUUAAUCCAUACUCUGUUCUACCUCCAUCAUCAUGAUAUCUAAGCAGACUGUUGGGUAUUAUCUGUGUCCCUAAGUGUUUGGUAUAUUUAGUAGCUCAUUAUUAUUCUAGGUAUGAGUAAGCUGGCGUGGUAUUAACAGUGAAUAUUAACCGUUUUGACCAUGUAGCUUACACUGUAGGUUUGUCCUAAAUGUUGUUAUUCACACACUUCACUACUGAAAAGCUUUAAUCCAUAGAUCACUUACAUACUGAAAAACCUUGCUGUUUGGUCAGGGAUGGGAGGUAUUACCAUUUUGUGUUUUGUUUUUGUUCCACAUCUAAAUACAGCUGUAACCCUUCACAUACGGUGACAUUGUUUUUUCGUAAUGUGAGCGAGCUUCCUCUUACUUCCAAGGAAAAAUGCCUUAGAAAUUAGGAAUAGCCCAUACGUCCAUAGUAUCGUGAGCAUGAUGAAGACUUUAAUACAUGUAUAGCUCUGUUGGGGGGUGAGGAUAGCUUGACCAUAUAAAUAGUUUUUUCUCCCCUUGAGCAAGAGGUCUGUGUUCAGUUUUCAGCUGCUUAUGAAAACCUCCGAUCGCUAUUCCUCACUUAGCAUUCCUAGCUCUAGUGUCAGUUUGGGAUGCUAAAUGUGGCUUCUUAAACUUGUUUUCGAGAUAAUGCUGUUCUUGAGGGUAGUCAGUAAGCCGUCUUUGUAUAUUGAAGCUUGAAGUGAUAGUGGUGUUAAGCUUUUAAUAAAAUUUGGUUAUGUUUUGUUUCACGGUAUUCUGAUAUUUAUACAAUUUGCCCGUUAUCUUUUUAUUUCUUAAGGGCAUUGUGUAAAGUCACAGCAGCUACAUAGUGAGCUUAUGCGAAUGUCUAAAAACAACAAAAGAGAUGUAACACUAAAUGCUGAAUGGUGUUCUCUGAUGUGGCUUUGAAAAAAGAGUUUCCCUUUGAUGAAUUUGAAGAGGAGCUGGCCACUUUCUGCAGCACUGAAUGCUGACUUGUGUCAUCCUUUUGGAGAGGUUUUUUUUUUUCAGCAGGCUUGUGUCACAGUAAGCACAGCUAAACAGCUCAAUAGUUGUUCCGUUUCCUUCACACGUUGUAUAUAAAAGUCCUGGCAUGAAUGUUCCCAUAAAGUUCAAAGCAGACAAAUUUGUAAUGUGGGUUGGUAGCAAAUGGCUACAAACAAAAUAUGGCUUUAUUAGCUACUUCUAAUGGCCUGUCAGAUUCUAUACAAUGCUUGCUUUCCUUCUCCUAAAUGCUCUGAUAUCUGAAAGGUUUGACCUGGAGGUCUUUAACCAUGUGGAGUCACUGAGAGCCCAAAUGAAAAGUUGCACAGAAUAGUGCUCCGAGCACUUUUGUUGGGGUCACAAUUAGAAGGAAAUCUCAGGCUUUUGAGAAAACAUGGGAGUUAGGUACUCUGUGAAGGAAAGGAAGUAAUAAACAGAAACUGUUCUCUCUUAGAGUGGAGGAAUAAAGGGGGAGAAGCCUGAAUGCAAUUGUCUGGAGAACAGCUACUACCGAAUAUAUUUGCUGAGAUUUAAGGGAUAAUAGCCAAAUACACAUUUCUGCUAUUGUGACAAAGAUAGAACAGACUUACGGGAAAAACCUUCCAAAUGAUAUAUCUGCAAAUUUGUUGUUGCAGUAAAGGAGCUUAUGUCAGUAUAGGCUGUGUGUGUCUGUGAAGACUAAUACUUUGUUUUGCCUUUAAUGAGUAAUUUUGUAAAUGUUCUUGUUGGAUUGUAUUGAUAGAACGAAGGGCGGAAAACAUGGGUGAAUUUAAUUUUUUAUUGGCAUCAGCAUGAAAGCAGUUUCAGAUAGACAUUGUUAUUUUUUUUUUGCCAUUACUUUGCUUUAUUAAGGUCCUUUUUUUGCUCAGCACCAAGCGUGGUUGUUGGAGGCGUGAGGUCAGACGGCCUACCCAAGGUUGCCAGACUUUUGAAACGAGGGUUUCUGCCGAUUUCUUCUUGUUGCAACCUGUGGGUGAGGUUCUUGAGCUGCGGUAAGUCCGGGCGGUUGCAGCCCUGCCGUGUGCCCUAGCACCUCCUCCACCCUCACUGCCUAGCUCAGAAAUAAUCACCCUUCUUAUUUCUGGGUUAGUUUUUGACUGAAUCACUGUAAUUGUGUGAGCAUCUGUGGUACCACAGAGGGGGAGAUGGGAAUGAUAGGUACAGAGGGAAAGGGGAGAGUGAGACUGCCAUAGCUUUGGUUUUAGCCACGUCCUAGAGGACUGCAUGGUCUUCCUGGAGGGGUUUGAGAUGCUGUCAUCCCGUCAGCUGAGACGUGGUGGCAAAACAGUGCUCUUAGUCCUCCGCACAGCAGUCACCGGGCUCUAAACAGGCAGAGGACGGCUCGAUCAGAGUAAGCUGUAGUGAAAUCACAGCCUCGGCCUUGUAAGCUAGCUUGGGCAUUGUAUCGUGGCUCCUGGAGGUGUUGGAGAUGGAAGGCUGGAUCUGGAGUGGGGGGAACUGCUGCUUUGCCAGGUCACUCAGACGUCAGUGCUCACACGUUAGUUCUGAUACCACAUUUUCACUGAGUCUUUUCAUGGAGGCAGAGCAACCUGUAUGUGACACAAAGCAACAGCAAGCAUGCUGUUCAUAUACGUGGAAAUGCACGGAAAGGUUUAGGAAUCCACACUCCCUGUCUGAUGUCCAGAAUAUGAAGUAGAUUGGAAAAUUGUCUCCAUCAAGAAGAGUUGAAAACAGUUUCCAGUAUAGUUGGAGUAACUGUAGUUAAGAGUUAGUAGGAGAUGCCUCUUCUUUUCUCAGAGGUUAAACUGCUGGGAUGAAGGACUCUGGUGACAUUUAUACAGGGCUUAGUUCAGUAAGCCCUGAUCAUGGCUGAGGGUGUGGGCACUACCAUGAUGUAAACAUUAAUUACCACUGUAGCCCCUCUGGUAAGGAAAAAUGAUCAUAAAAAGAGAGAUAGUACAGCAGCAGUCUCACUUUGCAGACCGUGUCAAGGUAAGCAGAAGUAGAAAACUUGAUUAAAAUAAAAGUGAUAUUUUCAAAUCCAGGAUGUUGUUUCUGGUUUAAGAAAAAAAGAGGGGGAAAAUCUGUAAAUGGAUCCCUGGUAACUCCCGGGAGGUAAAAGCAGUGUGCAGUUGAUAGAGCUGUGGUAGCAGUUGUGUCCUGUAGCUCUGUGCUAUUUGUGUCUCCAUCUGAAAAUAACUGGGAGUAUGUUAAACCAUGAACAAGAAGGAAACACAUGUAAUACUUGUGAAUUAAAUUCUCCAUUGUUUUUGCACCAAGUAGGAUAAGACUGGUGUGCCUCUUUCCUGCUUUCCUUUCUUUUUCUGCAGUGUUGUAAAAUAACUGAAUGAUCUUGUUUUCCUUUGUUUGGGUCAAGAAAUUUUAGCUGAAAAUUGUUACUCUGUGAAAGAAGAUUAUUGACUCAACAAGCCUUCAAUUUUCAGUGAAUAACACUCCCACCCUCUAGCUUCAGGAACAUGUGGUGCAUGCAUUCUAUUUUAAAGUACAGACUGUAAUUUAAAACUGAGGCAGUUUGAUGCCCCACUGAACUUUGUUUAAGCCUGGAAUAAAAGGAAAAAAGCCUCAAGUUGCAAAGAAGUGACUAAGCUUUCUCAAAUGCUUUUCUUAGCUGUUAUGCAUGGAGUUGGAAAAAGUUGCUAUUUUCUCCAAGUCAUUUUAAUUCCAGAUCAAGCGCGCUUGAUCUAGCUUGUUUCUCUUUUCUUGCCGUUCCAUGUAACAAACCUGUUGCUAGAAUAAGCCUCAUGCAAUCCGUAUGUAUAGAAAUACAAAGUGUAUGCAUUUGAGUGUUUCUGAGGUGCAAAACAUUGGUGCUGGCGUUCAUGCAGGUUCUGGACAUGACCUCCUGUGUAUGUCCUGGAGUAGGUGUGAACAGUGGGCCGAACUCAGGGCAGCUUCACUGAAAUAAUAUCCGUCAUGAUAUUAUAGGAGGGAUGAGCUUAGCUUUGUGUGUUUGUGACAUUGAAAAUCUUGGCCCACACAAUGCUCAUGCGUUUUUACAUUUGACUUCUGUGGGGGCCAGGAUUUCAUGUAGGUGAUCAAACCAAUUCCGUCAUAGAGUCAGCCUAUAUAUUCAUUUUCAAGCCCUAUUUUUGGGCAAAAGUACUAUCAAGGUAGUGCAGAGCACCCCUGAGCUUGUUGUGUGUGUAGUGGUAAAGUGGAACACUGAAACUAAAAUAGUUGAUUAUUGAAUUUAGUAGUCUUGCUAUAAAAAUUAAGCUUUGUAAUGUGAAGAGACAGUCUUGUUGUUAAUCAUUUGUGUUUUGUGCUUUACGGGAUUGCUUGGUUUUGCUUGAUAGGAUGAUCAGAUUUAUAUUAAAAACAGUGCUAUGGCUGCUAUUGAAGUAUGAAAACUAAUUUCAUUAAGUACUGUAAAAAAAAAAAAAGCUUGGUUAUUCCAUCAAGUUUUCAGUUCUUAAAACACUCUGCAUUUAUAAUGGUUACAUUAUCCCUGUAACAACAAGAUCACUCAUUUAGGAUCUAAGAAAAUUUAGAAAUGCAAAAAGAAAUACUUAGCCUGACCUCUACGUGAAACUUACUUGGGAAACCUGAUAAGGGAUUAUAGAUCCCAGUAGUGGAUAAUGUUGCAAAAACUUGUAUUUAAAUAGGCCAAUAUUGUCCUAGGUGGAAUAUUAAAGUAUUAGUAGCUUUUUCCUGCAGUGUUUUUUUGAAGCCAUUAGGAAUUGCCUCGAUGUGCUUUUUGCCUCCAAAUACCAAGGCAGUAUUGAUUUUGACUCGAGAAUUAAAGAAACCAGAUCAAGUCUGGGUGGUUGAAGCCUUUUUCCCUUCCAGCUGUUCCCUCCCCAGAGGCUGCCACCCACAGAGCAGGGCAACUGGCACAACAUGGGGGUGAGCUGCAGCCCCCUGCCUUACUGAAACGUGCAGGGCCCGGAGCUGCUGCAGCACAGGCGGCUCUGCAUGCACGGCCCAGAGGUACCCGCCUGCUGCACCAGCUGUCCUUUUGGCCUGCCUCAGUUUCCAAGUCGGUCCCUUCAGGUUGUGGAUUUGGGAAUCUCAUUCGAAAAUGGCCGGGGCUUUGGAUUUCCUGGGGGGUGAUUGGUUGUUUUUUGGAUUUGUUUUUUUUGUUUUUUUUUGUUUUUAAUAUUUUGCAUACUCUGUGUACACACAUAUUGUUGUAUAAAACGUGCAUGCCUCAUCUGUUCGGCUAUUUGUAAAUUUUGAGUUGAUAGCAUGCUAUAAAUUCUAAAGCUUAAUAUAAUCACUGGCCCAUAUUUUUUGUUCAUGCCUGUGUGAACUUUGGGAUUGCCAAACAGAAAGUAAGACAAAAGAGUAUUACUGGAAUACCAUUUCAGGAAGUACCUGAGACACCGUAAUUGUGCCUUUUUUUCCCUUUAUUUUUACCGCAAAUACUCCUGUAAGAUAGGAUAUUUUCUUCCUCCUAGAAUGACUCCUUUACUUGAGCUCACCAGCUGUCCGGAGAGGUGACCUCAGCUUCAUAACCUUGACUAAACACAGUGCCUCAUUCCGGCCAGCAACAUCUGAAGCCUAACAGUAGAUGCCUUUUCUUUUUCUUCUGCCAUCCGUCCCUGCUUACUUGGAAUGAGCUGGCUUCUGGUGCUAUUGUUGCAACUCUCCUUUUAAAAACAAAACCGAAAAAAAACAUGACUAGGCUUUGAUCUGAGGCUCGCUUCUGUGCAAGCAGGUGUGGGUGCAUUUACACUCAUAGUGUUAAGGUUUCACAGUGCUUUUCUACUGUUGAUGGUGUAUCCACAAUUGCUAGGGAUUUGGGUACAGCCACAGUGUAAAUGCUAGGUGUUUGUCAUGUGCUACUUGUUUUGUAGUACUAUGCUGCAAUUCCAGUGAAGUCGGCCCUGUAAUGUGAGGCCGUUCACAUGUUUUGCUUUAUUUUUCUGAAGUUUGAAACUAUUUUUAAAUUUUUUCUCAAAUCUGCUUUCUUGAAAUCUAAUGUCUUCUGUAACGCUUAAUUCUCUUCAAUUUUCCUUCCUUUGCUGUAGCUGCGUUAGAUUCACUAUGAAGUCAUCCCGUAAAGAAGACUAUUCACGAUGGCUUUUGUAGUCUAUGCGGUGUGCACUGUGGUGCUCUGCAACUUACUGCAUCAAUUUUUGUUAAUGCCAUACAGAUUACUAGGUGCCAUUUCCCCGUAAUUCCAAACACAGCUACAGUCCCAAAGGACCGAGGGUCCCCUUUGAAUUGGCAAUGUCAUUUCAGGGGGUGAAACAUUGUAACGUGCUGAAAUCAAGAUAGAGAAGCUGGUAACAUCAGGAGAAGGGUAAGGGUACUUUCAGUUCGCAGUGUUUAGGCUUUUGAUCUCUUUCCUUCCAUGCAAACAAUUGCAGAUGACCCUUUUAAUCAUCUCAACCUAUGAAAUGAGACUUAUUGUGCUAAAUUAGAACGAGGACCUGAAUUUUGAUGCACAUUUGAAUAAUUGCAUUAGUAUAGAAAAAUAUGUCAUUCUGGAUCAUUUAUUUCACAUCUUAGUUAAGUGGCAUGAAUUUAUAACUGAACAUGUUUUUUUUCACUUCUCAAAAGGGUAGUUCUCUUAACAGUGUGUCUUCCACUAUAUUAUUGAAGCUAACGUUUGGGAAGUAAUAUAAAGAUAAGCAUACAUGAGAUUAUGUAUUCAUAUGUUUGCAUGUAAUAAUACAUUAUGCAUCUGUAAGCUUUAGAAAGGUUUGCUGAAUACACAGCAGUGGACCUAGUUAAGAGAACAAAGCUUAUUUUAUGUCAUAGCAUCGUAAGAUGUAUGCUCGUGUGUACAUCUAUAUUACUGUAAAUGAUGAACAGCUUUUGCAUAAAAGGUAAUGAAAGAGGUUUGAAGCAUUCCUGUUUUUUUUAUUAAACUGCAAACUUGAGAGUAGCCAGUACUCACUUUCCACAAGUAUGGGAAUAAAGGAACUGAAAGCGAUCUGAGAUUUUUAGACUCACUUGUAAAAUCAAAAUAACUCUGAAAGAUUAUAUAGGUAUAUAAAGUGGUGUAUGGAUUAAGUGCACACGUUAGCCCUAGUGAACUUGUACGUUAUAGGUUAUAGCAAUGCCAAGUGUUAUCCCUCCAUUUUAGACUUUUAUAGUGAACUGAAAGCCUUACCAUACUGCAAUGGAGACUUAAGAAAAACUCCAGAUUCUCUUUCCCUUGUUUAAUUUACAGACCAUGUCAAGAUUUUAAUAAUAGUGCUUAAUGAAAACUUUAUAAAAGCCUAAUUUUUCCCCAUCCUCUUUGUUUAUUGUAUCAUUAGAUGCCUACAUGAAAGUAGGAAAAAAAGUUGUUCAGUGCAAUUUUCAGCACAGUUCUUCAGGAUUUAUUGAAACAGGGCUAUAAAAUUGUAGGAUCUGUUUUGUUUUGUUUUGUUUUGUUUUUUUAAUAAGUAAAAUCUCAUAGUUGUGGCUUCAUUUGGAUUCUCUCUUAGUCCAUUUUCCCUCCAUCUUCACUCUUUUCCUUUGUUUUGCUUGUGCCUUUACAGAAGGCUUAGGAAGACUGUAUAUACACCAUACUGGUGUUUUUAAAUGACUGCCAAUUCUUCCGGUGUGGCUCAUUAGACAUCUUGUCCUGUUGGAAAUCACAGUAACAGCCUUUUUGUUCCUAUUCUGAGGUAUGACAAAGUACAGAUAUUUUUUUUUUGGCUCUGGAAGACUUCAUCUGCCUCUGGCCAGAGGGCUCUUUGGCGGUCGGACUGCAGCAUGGGGUGCGAGGGCCUGUUUAGGCUGCCCAUGGAGCAGCCUUGCUCAGCUGCAAAGAGACAGAGGUCACAUACCAGAUCCCAUGAAAGGCACUUCUUACAUAUACUUACAGACACUUCAGCUCUUUAGUCUUUUGCUGGUUAGAUUACAGAAGAACCUGUCCAAAAAAAAAAAAAAAAAAAAAAAAAAGCGAGUAGUGGUUUCUAGUGCCUGCUUUUUAAUGCCUGUUUUCACAGCAGUACAGGUCAGAUUGAAGUAAAUCCUGUGGAACCUUUACCUUAUUUUUGCCAGAAAAAUGAACUUUCCCCUCCUGUAUAAUAAUGUUGAUUGCUUGACCUCCAAUUCCAUGGAGAUGUGGUCAGAGGGCUGUAGUCAGCUAGCCACUCAGGGUGAGAGCUAUCUUCUGUCACUUACGGUGUGCAGUGACACUACAGGUUUGAAAUGUAAUUAAAGCACCUAUAGGCUGACACUCUUUUUUUCCUCACCACCCACAUCCAUGAAAAAUGUAAUUUGGAAACAAAACAUGAAACAGCUAUGUGAAGGUUUUUAAAAAAAUAUUCAGUUAAAAAAAAAAGCAACCCUUCUCUUAUAUUUAGUCUUUAACUUUGCUAGAAAAGCAUUCCUUGUUUAAACUAAGACAUUGUGCAUAAGCUCUGUGCGUUAGAAUUUAUCACAGGCUCCAGAUUCCUGCAUGCUCUAAAAUAGAUGCCAUGGGCUCAGUUUUGUCAGAAGCCGGAUUUUGUAGCCCCCGAAGCUUGUGCAUUCGUGAUUAGCCAAGGGCAGAUCGGGCUGCUUAAUGCGUCCCACCAGCUCCGUCUGGGUUUGCUGGCUGGGUUCAAGCACCCGUCCCAGCCUCACCAGGGUGGGUGACCAGACCUAGCAGCAAGUGCUGCCCCUUGCUGCACCGUGGAUGGGGAGAGCACGGUUCGGUGCCACGAAGGGCUGUGCAUGGCUGCUCCUGUGGUGAAAAGGAGCCAGCAGCGUGCUGCCUGCUGUGGCACCCGGGACCUAGGGGGCUUUGAACGCUGCGGGGAGGGAAGCAGAGCCAUGCUCCCCUGUGAGGCCUGGGCCAAGCAGGCCGAUGAGAACAUUUUGGGGCCAUUUUUGCUCGGAUCUGCACGUCUGAAAGCCUUCUCCUUCCCUGCGAAGGUUUUUCUCCACCGAAUCCAUCUUGCGCGUCACCCGGCUCUUUGAAUCCAGCACGACCCGGAGUGGCAGCCCUCUCCCCACGCUGCGUCCCCACUACACUCUCAACCCGGAGCCCGGCGGCCCGGUCCCCCCUCUUCUCCCCGGGGCUGCCCCGUGCCGGCGGACAUGGCGGCGCCGCCUUUGAAGCCGGGCGCUCCGGCGGCGUUGCCAGGGCGACCGGGCGGGCAAUGGCCUCCGGCACCCCGCGCCCGGCCCGGCCCGGCCCGGCGGCUGAGGGGCUGAGGGGAUAGGGCGCAGUUCGCUCUCCCAGCCUCGCGCUGGUAAAUGCAGAGGCUUUUCGCUUUUUUGUUGUUCUUCUCUCCCCUCCUUCGGUUUAUGCAUUAUUAACAGCCGCUUUCCUGUUUUGCUUGUAACGUUUUAUGGGCUUUUUUUCAAACACGUAGUCAGAUUUGCUCGGUUGCUCCUCUGUUCGCCGGGACUUAACCCCUUCUCUCCUUCAUCUUCACAAACUCGCAGGGAGGCCUCAAACGCUUCCGACUGCUCCCAUUUAAAAUGUUAAAAACUGGAAAAGGAUUUUUUAAACUAUUUUUUUUUGAAGUGUUCUGGAAAGCAGCACAGAUUGCUCAGCUUCUGGCGUUUCACUGAAGUCAGCACGCGUGAGCCUCGCUGCAGCUGCGAGGGGUUCAAACCAAGCAAGUAUUUUGGCUGGGCGCUGUAAUGGCUGUGCCCGUUUCAUCCCCUCUCCGUGGCGUUACCCCCUUCUCUGCAUAUGCAGAGUUUUGUUAGCAGCCUUCAGAAGAGAAGCACCUCGUGGCUGAAAAAUUGGAACCAAAAACCCCAGAACAAUUCCAGGGAUGUGCUGUUUACCCCCAUCACCUUCCUCUUUAACACUGAGCUGGCAAAGUGCAUUUAGAUAGGUAGAAAUAUUACAAACACAAGCUGCAGGCUUUGUUUUGCUUUUCCAGAGCUCUAAAAUAUAGCUUUCAUUUUAGUCUCUAGUAGGAGGCAUAUAUCCAAGGGCUGUCAAAUGCUGUGGAUACAGGGAUUCAGUUGUCCCUGCAGACACAGUCCCUGUACAAAAACUUGGAGGCUAACAAGCAAGCCUAGCAUUCAUAAUUCCCCCUAGCGCCCUCAUUUUUAGGUUCUGGGUGUGGGAUUGUGUAUUUGUUAUUACAAGGAGGUACUUACCGGCACCUAGAGGACCUUGCUUUGUCCGUCUGAAUCUAGCCCAGAUCCUGCUUCCCCAGAUACUUCAAAACACAUCUCAGGAAAAAAACAGAUGUUCCUCAAUUUUUGUCUCUUUUUUAUUUUUCCAACAACGUGUAGUGAUGUUGAUAUGAACAAUACUUCCAUCUUCAACGCUCGGUGUCUCAAAGCACUGCAUUUGUUUUUUCAUGUAGCUCUUUUGUGUGAAGCCAACACGCACCCUCAGUGCUGGUUGGAACAACUCAAGUAAAUCCAUUCCCUACCUCAGGGAGGCCCUGGGAUAGAUGGACGAUGGAGAGUCCCCCUAGCUCCUUGGCCACCUGAGGCCAGCACAAAGCCCAUCUCUACUCUUGGCCUACAGCAGCUGUGGGCUGUGUCACAGCCUAGCCUGGAGUCAGUGUUUUGUAGUGUUGUAGAACAUGGCAAUAAUGUGGUUUUAAAAGUUUUUUUUUUUUUUUUUAAUGUAUACUUUUUAAAGCAUGUUUAAUCUACUCUGCGUGGAUAUUGUACUGUACAGCUGAAUAUAUUAAAUAGGCCGGACUGGAGGUUUACUCUCAUCUCCUGGCAUUAUGGAUAUGAAUUUCAUCCUUUGAGUUGCAUUCCCCUUGAAUGUGCAAAUUUUGGGAAAAUUAGAGAAAACAGUUUACAUUCCAUUAAUAAGAAAUUACUAAUUGCUUAUAAAACAGGCAUAUCUUUAUCUGCACAGAGCUUUUCAAAGUUGCUGUUUAAUCUUUUUUCUUUUUUAAUCACUAAACAAACAUGUCUCAGCAGUCGCUGCAUGUGAAACCAAAACCUGGACGUGGACAAAAAGCAAACAUCCUACACUAAUUUUCAUUAGCAUAUCCUAUCUCCUAGAACAUUUAUUUUUUCAUCUCCUUGUAAAUUGAUUUUUCACAUGCUUGUGACUGAUAUUUGAACUGUGUGUUUGUAGUAACUGACUUCUAUAAAAGCUAGGUCCUGGAUCUCCCAACAUGAAUAUAUUAUGGAGGUGACCUAGUGGGCCUAUAGUUAAGGUUGCAUGGAGUUUUCACUUAAAACAAUGUUUAAAUCCCUUAAUUAAACAUUAAAACUUGCGCAAAUUCUCAAACAUGGACUGUUUCAAUAAAGAGGAUAAACUUUAAUUAUUUAGGUACUCAAUGUUCUUCUUAGUGCUGUAUUUGCAGAAUUCAGAGCAACUUAAAAUUAUGCCUUCCUCAGAUUUUUUCAGAGUUCCUAGUAUUUUCAGUUUCUUCAUUUUUUUAAAUCUUUUGUCUAAGACAUUCAUUGAUGCAAGUUUUCAUAUCCUUGCUGGCUUCAUAGAACCAUAAAAAUGUACAGAAAAUGUUUUAACAAAAAGCAGUUCGGUUUUAUUUAUAAUAAUGCACAAUACAGAAGAGCGUAUAGAAGAUACAAGUUGAGAACAGUAUACUGGUUAUUUGUAGCUAAUACUAGUCUUUUACACCAGUGAUUUGGAAUCAAAAGAACAGACUGGAGAGUCUAUUAAAAAGAGAAGUACCACAUGGAAGCAAAAUCCAGAUCUGUGCCUAAAAACUAGUAGCAUCUUUUCUGUGCAGAGGAUUGUUUCCAAAUCAGUCAAUUAACACCAACUGCAGUAGUCCCAAACUGGUGUAAACUCCCCUUUGCUUUCCUCUAUCUACUUAUGCCUUGAGGGCCCGGUUCAAACUUUGCUGAAAUCAGUCUUUCACUGAUUUCCAUAAGUUUUGGAUUAGGCCAAUUAAUUCUUAUGUUCAUUCUGUCCAGUUGUCACCCUGCUCCUCUGCAUUAACAGAUGUUUCGAGCCUUUUUCUUUGGACAGGGUCUGUAAACCUACCGUUUCCAUCUGUGCCUGCUGUACCUGUAGUGAUCAGCGAGCACGGUUCCCAUUGUUAACACUUGCAGCCUUCUGGCUGAGCUAUAAUCACAUUCUUCAGCACAGGCGGAAGUCCUGCUGAAAACAGUGUAUUUGCAAACAGUUCAUAAAUGAAGAAAAAUUCCUUUAGAAACCAGUAUUACACGUGUAAGUAGUGUCUGUAUCCAGACUCCUUAGCCUCCAGCAAUUCCUCUAACUAGCUGGAAAUACAGACAAAAUGGCCAGGAAAAAAAAAAAAAUUCCUCAGUAGCUUACAGUGUGUGGAAAAUUUUUCAUUUAAGUCUUUUAGGCCAGGAUGUGUUUUCCCAUCGUUUCCAGCUGACUGCCACUGUGGUCACGUAUGCUUGUUAGUUCAUGUCUCCUGUCCAUUGAAACACUGCAGCAAAUACAGUCUGCAAAAAUGCUUACAUGAGAAAAUGUCGUUUCAGAGUAUGCUAGUUCUGGAAUUUUGGAAAAUGCAAGUGCUAUGGCCUGUGAUUUCACACCAAUACCAUAAAAAUUAAAAGUUACUUAUUAGUUUGAAGAAUUGCUUAUUACUCAGGCAUUGGAUGAGGAGAGAAAUCCACAGGAAGUUCUUGUUACCUCCACCAUAUGAGUAGGUUCUCAAGCUCUUCCAGAGUAGGGAUUGAAAUGUUGGAAGUGAAAAGGGCCUGUUGCAAGCUUCACAUGGAGAAAAGUAAGUGAAACAAGCUGGUGAUGGUCAUGCUUUUAACUGACUCUGCUGUGUGUGAGCAGACUGAAGCAACGCGUGGCAGGGAAGAAUACAUGAGAGAGCACCUGGGAGUGGAAUAAUGCAGAGUCAAACGUUUAAGGGUUAGAAUCUUUGGCAGUAUCACCAUUUUUUUAUAUAUUUUUUUUUUGGGGGGGGGAGGGGGGCUGUUAGGCUGUGCAAAUUCUCUUCAUUCUUUUUGUGUGUGUGUGUGUGUGUUUGAAAAAUAGGUCCAAACACACUGUAUACGUUGUGACAGUAAGGGGUUAAAGAGAUGUCAUUAUGCAUUCUUCAGUAAGUGCUCUGCAGUCAGCAGUACAGAGCAAGGAUUUUAUAGAAGCUUAAAAAAAAAAAAAAAAAAAAAAAAGGAAAAGAAAAGAGAUGACGGAGGGAGAAUAUGGAGAGAAGGUCAGAUCCAAGGAUUCUCCUAGGGUUUUCUCAUGUUUGCUCUUCCUUUGUGGCUCGUUAUGCUCUCUCCUGGUAGAAACAGAAGAAAGCAUCAUGGCCUGUUGGUUCCUCCUACUGAUAAUGUACAUUUGAUCUUUUUGCUUUGUGGUAGUGGUGAAUUUAUGGAUUUAGUUCCUGAAGGAGUUCUGAGCCAUCCUAGUGCCUGCCACGGUCCUUGUAUAUUCCCCAGCUCUUUUUUAUUACAAGAAGUGCAUUGCAGCCCUGUGAACACCGAACAUUUCAACAAACACCCUUUUUCAGCUGCGGUUUACCCGUUUUGUUUGAGAGGAUUUGAAUUUCCAGCAAACCCAUCUACUGGGAACAGUUUGUUUUGGACUGUUUGGGAGUGAUUCGGCUGGAUGAGUGGAAGUUCUUGCACUCAGUAUUUCAGACCGACCUGGCUGGUAAAGGUUGUGGGUUGUUCUGGAACGGCUGCAGUAGCAAAGCAGAGCAGCACUCAGAACGGGCAGGACGCUGGGGACGCGGGUCAUCCCGCACUUCCAUCCUGGGAGCUAGCCCGAGCUCUGACUUGCUGAGUCAUUCAGUGUACCAGAUCCUUCUUUUUUAUUGAACCAAUUUGAUUUGCAGUUGGAUUUCAACAUAACAGCAAAGCCUUUCUGGGAGAUAUUUGUGUGUUCAGUAACACAGUAGUCUGAAAAACUGUUUUGUUUUUUUUUUUUUUUUUUUUGCUUUCUCUUUCAUUUGAUAGAAUUUUCUUCCUUUUUUUUUUUUUUUUUCUUGCGUACUUUCCCUGUUUAGUUUUUAUGGGAAAGAACUGCAAACAAUUAAGUGAAUAGGAUUUCCCUUGCCUCAUUCUUUCCUGGAGAAAAAAAAAAAAGAAAAUCCCGACACCUCUCCCCUCCCCCCAACAGCUCUUCUUUUGGGUUAAGGAUCCUUAGACUUGCCAUUGACCUUAUCAGGACGGGCUCUUGCAAUCUCUCCUGUGAGAGGGCAGGGAGAGUUUGCAAGUUUACAUAGUGGUGCAGAGUGCCUGGCAGUAAGAGCUGCUGGGUUAAGUUAGUUAAUUGCAAGGGUCUUCUGAAACGCAGCGUUAGCAAACAGUCUCUACCCCUAAGGACAACGGAAACUUUUCCUCCCACCCUUGUUAAAUGCCGGUUUAAAGCUAUUGAUUUCUUUCCCCUAGAAAAAUAAAAGUUAACUCCCAUCAUGCUUCUCCUCUCCUUCUCUCUCUUUUAACUUUCUUAUUUUUUUCUCUUCUGUCUUUAUCAUUUUAACGCUGGAAAAUUCUGAAAGGAUUGCUGCGAGGAGGAAGGAUAGCCUGAUAAGUGUAUUUCCUAAAGCUUUUGGCCUUUCAAGGUUUCUCUUAUGGGUAAGGUUGAACUGUGCCUACAUCUUGGAUUGAGACGACAGGGGAGUAGUGUGUAAUACUUUCUGCUUCCGAUAGCUCUUUGUUGAUCUAAGAGAGAGCACUUAGAGAGUGGUAGGUCAUUUAUGUGAUUAUGAAGAGCACUUGGUUCUCUCUUAUUCAAGAUGGAAAAAUAAUAGUUUUUGAAUAAGAGGUCGCUGUCAAGAUGACAUUGAAUGUGACUUCUCUUCCCUCUUCAUUCCCUCCCCCACUAAAAGAAAAGCAGCGAUGCUACUACUCAGGAUAGGGCUACAUUUUUCCAACUGCACGUGUCUUUUUCUUUUCUUCUCUUCUUUGUUCAUUUUAUUCCUUGCCGUUUCCUCUGCGUAUAAUGUUUAUACUCUCUGAUGGUGUCUAGGUAUUUAUGGUAACCAGAAAUUUAAAAAUAAAUGUAAUGCAUGUAAGGUUUUGUGUUGUUUUAAGUGUUGUUUUUCAACUUGCAAAAUUAAGCUGUGAAUGUGUGAUGUGGUAUCUGCUUGGGUGACAGAUGUCCAUUCCUGAAUGAUGCUGUGUUCCCUUUGUGCUUUAUUUAUGGAGUGAUUUGCUUCUAAAAUAAUCUCUUAAUCUUUUCCAAACUACAUUUCUGUAUAUGCUCUUUUCACAUAUGCCAUCAUUUAGGGUAACAGGCUAAAAACUGAAAUUACUCCUAAAUGCUUCAUUUCUAAAGCUAAUAAUAGUGAUAUAACAGUGUCAUUUUUGGCUUGAUGUGUCCUUUUAGAAGUAGGUUAAGUGUGUAGUUUGUUUUGGCUUUGGUGUUUUCUGUGCAUUUGUUUGCUGUAGCACUGCCAUAAUGAAAUUGUAUUUUAAUUUCAUUCAUUUACCAAAUGAAAAGACAACACUAAUUUGUCUUUUUUUCAUGUUAGGUUAGCUUUAAUACCUCAGAAAAGGAGCUGUAACCCCAAAUUAGGAUGAAAUUGCCCAGAGUACAGAACAAAAUAGAUGUUUUAUGAAACUGAUUAACAGUUACUCUAGGGUUCAUUUGCUUAAGCAGGUGUUGAACAUCUGUCAAUGCUCUGUUUCAUCACAGAUUUACUUUUAGUAAACUUCAUGGUUUAAACUUGGAGAAGGGCAGGUCAGCGGAAUAUGUGUAUUUGUAGUUCCUUACAGCGGUAAAGACUUUUUAAGAUUUUCUUAUUUGCACUCUAAAAUCAAAUCUCUAUGAAGCAUGUUAAGAUUUUCACAUGUUUAUCUGUUGACACAUUGAAAAGAACUCACUUGUACUUUUGAAAUAGUGUUUUUUUGGAAAACCAAAGCAAUUUUGGAGUUGGUUGGUUGAAAGACAGCGCUAGAUCCUUUGCUUAGGUUUUCUUCACUCCUAAACUACAAAUUUUGUACAGUAUAUUUUUGAAAAACUAUGGGUAUUAGAAAUGAAAUACAAUUUAAAUUUCUUAUCAAGACAUCAAAGUUAAAUAGGAAGUGUUGAAAACUGUCAUGAUUAUUAGUCAACCAUCAGAAAAAGACAGAAAAUUGGUUACAAGCCUGAGAAGGAAGGAAGAGUGAUGCCAUUGGUCUUGGGUUAGCAGGCUGUAGGAACUUCUGUCAGCUGGACCUGGCCUCCCAUAGGCAGUAAUUUCACUUAAGUUCAGUCAGAGAUUUAGGAUUUUUUUUUGGACAGUAGUAGUUAAUGUUUUCUUUCCUACCUAUGAAACCUCAGGAGUAGCUGUGGGUACAGCUGGCUGGUAUCGAGCUGUCAGCACCGACCAGGGCAGUCGUGCUGGCUGCCGCACAUCGCUUCUUACUGGGGCGCUGGCCGUGCUUGACCUGUGAAGCUAGCAAGAGCUGCCUUGCUCACAGUUUUUGGGGGAAAUCCACUCAGUUCCUUUAGGAUGUUCCUUCCCAGAAACAUGCUGCUGACAGGGCAAUGUCAGCAGCAGCUGGAGCCGUUUGGUCCCUCUGGUGUCGGGGUGGGACUGGACGAACGUUUCGCUCCUGUCAGAGUAGGCCUUUGAGGAGGUUCUCCCUGUUGUGCCCGUGCUUCAAUUCACAUCACCCCGCAGGCACAGAGCGAGCUGGAUUCCUUCUGGAUGAAAUGAAACUGCGAAAAUGUGCCCCAGGAGCCCACCCAGUGGGCUGUGGGUGCUCGGUGCCAGGGCCAGCCCCAAGCAGGGCACUGGUGCCGGCAUGGCCUUCCCUCUGCGCUGCCUCUCAGCGCUUCACCUCGCGUCCGGAGCCAGCGGCCUUUGAAGUCUUUGAGUGACUUCCAUUGGCUUUAAUAGGCUUUGUGGCAGGCCCUAAUGAUUUGGUUGUGAUCUGAAAAGGGAUGUGCAGGGGCUUUCAUAUAAUGAGAAAAUGUUACCUUUUAAAGAGCCGGGUUCAAACAGGCUGAUGAUCAGUUCUCGAGUGGAAGUGAGCUCCUUGCUGUCUCCUGGAAUCCUUUUGUCCCUAUCAAAAAAAUAAAAAACUCAGAAAAUUAGUACUCAUUUUGCAAGUACGGUCUGGGGUUGAAAUUAGCAGAGGAGUUUUAGGUCAUGGAUUGAACUGCACUGACAAGCAGUGGAGAGGUUUGCACAGUACAACUCUGCGCCUCUCAAAAUUGCACGGUGAGCCCCUCGUUCUCGUGAGCGGUCCCUUUGUUCACGGUUUUGAAGUGAAAAGGCAGGAGAGAGGAAGGAAAAACCAAGCUUAGUUCACUCGUACUAACAUUGCUCUGGGAUAAGUAGUGCCUAGGACUAAAAAUCAUGGCUAACUAAAAAUCACAAGUUUGUUUUUAAAGGAGAAGGUGGAACAGAGGCCAUUUCACUGUCCUACUAAUUGCAUAACAAGACUACCAGUUCUUUCUAUGUCCCUGGGUCUCAUAGGUUCCCCUCUAAGUUUUCUCUCUUUUCCAGAAAUGUUGCUCAAAUAAUUUUGUGUAAUUACUUUUUUUUUUUUUUUUCUCAUGUAAGGUAUUCUGUUUGAUCAGUAUCCAGAAAAGCUUUCUUUUCAGCAUCCUCAGAAUCCUUUCAUGUGAGCUGGGAAAUCAAUUUAUGGCUCUAACAAAUUAAUGUGGACAGCUUGGAUCUGUUGAACUUCUGCUUCUUCGUUUACUGUAUUAUUUUGUGUACUAAAUCUGUCUUCCCUAAAUUAAAAGAUUGGUGUUUUUUUUUUCCUUUCCAAAACAGGUGUGUACUGUAAUAAUCAUGUUCAAACAAUCUAGUAAUAAAUGGCCAGGAACAAAGCAUAGCUCCAUUUCAUCACUGGAUGCAGGGAUCUAGUAGAAUCUGUAUUUACAAUUACAUGCAAUAGCAUGUGUCUUCCUAUAAUGGUUCAUCUUAAUAUUUUUAUUUGUACAUGUUUUGAGGCAUGGAAGAGUUCCUCUGAAUGUGCAGUGGGACUGAUUUAUCGCAGUGAUCGUCCUUGUUUUACAUCUGUGUAAUUACUUUGAAGUCACUGAACUUACGCCGAUACAAAAUCGCAGGAGCAGUGAAUUAGGGUGGCUCUUUUGAUGGAGCUUUUUAUUCUGGUUGAAAUAUUUUACGGAUCCAGGUGAGGAUGAAAUGUUGUACUGAGCUGCGAGCUGUUUUCCUGAUUGGGUUCAUGCUGCUUAUCUGUCAGUACUUCCCCUUCUUAGAAGCUGUAUUUAAUGCGGUUGUUUCUGCUUGCCUUGGAAAUGCAAAGGAGAGUUAGUUGUUUGUAUGAGAGGAGAGUUAAAUCAAAAUCCCUUGGUUUCUAGUGCUGGCUGUAGCUGAACAAGGUGGUUCUGUGCUGUAUUUUUGGUAGAAGCAUUAUUCUGUCCUUCAUCUUCAAGUACAACGGUGAGCUAGCUUCAAUAAAAUAAAAAGGCAGAGACCUUCUUUAGACUCCUCUCAUUUUUCCCGUGUGCUCAAAGCCAUGAAUUAGCUUGCUAAAAGGAAAGCAUGGGGGCAGCAUUAUCAGAAGGCGGAGGGUGUUGGUGGCGUUCAGAACCAAUAAAUGCAAUGCGUGUGCAGGACAUGGGGCGUUGGAGCCUUCAUUAGCUGGUCGCAGCGCUCCUCUCACCUCUGAGCUGCAGACCUUGGCGCUGAGGGUCACAGGCCAGCCGAGAGCUCGGGCUAAGCCAGCCCUGCUGCCCGCACCUUCCCUUCCCUUCCCUGCCUUCCCGAGCCCUUCUGCCAGAGGAAGCAGCCCCCAUCCUUCACCCAGGCCCGGGCAGUGCUGCUGGGGGCUGGGGUUCAGCGCUGCGGUGGUCCCGGCCGCUGAGGUGGCUGCCCCCCUGCCCAUCGGGCUGGGGACGGCAGGUGCUGAGCCUCAUUGGGAGAAUUUAUUGUUAGCUGUUGCUGAUGCUUUAGAGACCACUCUGCUUACCCGCCUAAUAGCCAAAUGCGAGCUAAUAGUCUGUACAGGCCAUUGAAGCCUAAAAUCCUGCUAAUUCCUUCCUCUAAUGAAUAAUCCCUGAUCUCUGUAUGUGCCUUGACUGCAGAAGGGCUAAUUAUGAAAUUCAUUGUAAGGAAAAUUUAGAACUCGUGAUUUCUGUGACUGGGGUUUAUAAAUAAAUAAUGCGUCUGCGUGUGUAUGGUGUACACAGUACAGCUUUUGCAUGGAAAGUUAAAUAUCCCUGAAGAUAUUUAGUUAAAAUAAGUGGGACUGUAAAGCACUUCAUUGCUCGUUGGAUUAAUCGCUCACAGUUUAGGGAAUGGGCUGCCCAUUCCACCCAGAAAUGUCACUCGUAACCCUGAGCAGAGACAUUGGACCUUCUGCUGUUGGUUUUGUGUAAAUAGCUCGGGUGAACGAAGCUGUUCCCCGCUGCAGGUGAGUAGGUGGCAUUCGGAGCGGGGCGUGAGGAGCCCCUGAGCUGGUUUCUGGAGACGCUGUUGCCCUUCCGUGCAGACUAUUCAGAGCACAUGUUUCUGUGGCACGUCCAGAAGUGUAAGAGGAUGGUAAAUCUGGUUCUUUGGGUUUAAGGAAUGCUUCUAAGAAACAAUUCUAGUGAUUCUUUUCAUUUGAGUGUUAGAAACGGGAGGAAAAUAUCUAAGCAACCGAAGUAUUGGGGUAGAGAUGUUGCAUAAAUUAUAAUGAGCACCAGAGGACACAGGAUGUGUUCGUUCCCAAGCUGCAUGAUUAUUUCGUGUUGUGAAGGGUUAGCUUUUCAAUUGCAAAGCUUAAUCACUUUUCAAAUGAAUAUUUCAUAACAGUUAUUUUUUCAUCAAAUACACAACGACAUGCUUAUUUUGUGCCUCAUGUGGUAGACAUUAGUUUUCAGCAGCUUUAAAUUCCUUUUAUUUCCCCUCAUCUCUUAUUCUUGUUUUCAGCGGUGGAUGGGCAAGAAAAUAUUCUUGAACAUGUCCUGACGAGUGGCUAACAGAUAGGAAGAGCCCAGAAGUUUUACGACUCAUAAUCACAAAUUCUUAAAAAAUUCUAAUGUCAUUGGUGCUGAGUGCAGCUUACAUGACUGAUUUAAGAUAUUUUAAAUGUAAUCUAAAAUGAAAACACAACUGUUGGAGACCUCUGCCUCUACUAGAAAAUGCUGUUUAGUGGUACAGCACAGCUGUAGUACUCAUUACUUUUUGUUCCUGGAUGAUUAAAGUUAUCAUAAAAAGACAAGAGGCUGAUUAUCCUCAGUACAGCUUCUUCUUGCUGGAAGAGUUGUGCAAGGGGGACUCUGUAUGGUUAAUAUAUACAUCUAUACUGAUCUGUGUAUCUGUAUAUAGGUAUUUGAGAAUUGCCCUGGCUUAGGGUGAAAUUUGGAUAGUAAAGUGGUGAUGUGCUUGCUGUACUACACAUCCUUUAGACCCAGAGUUGGGGGAGUUUCUGCAGCACUGCUGUAUUGUCUAGUGGCUCCUUUCUAGAUCUCUCGAGUGCUUUGGCAGAUAGAUGAAAAUUAAAUCAGCUUGGAGGUUUGGAAUUAUACUAAUGGGCCAAACUGGCUUGAAAAUAGGAGAAAUGCAAAGCUGACCUUAAGGCACCCUCGCUGCUUUUUCUGUUCUUGUAUUCAAGAAUUUUUUGGUACUCACCUGUCCAGCCUGUUGUUCAAAAUUAAAAUGCAAUUUUCUUUGAAGUAUGCAAUAAAAGAAAUAUUUAUAAAAAUAUCAAGUGUUGUUUUGACUAGACAGAACUUACUCUUUUCGUCUAGCUAUUUUGUUCCCAUACCUGAGAGUGUAUUUCAUUGUGUACUUUGAAGCAUACAAAAUACAGUAUUUCUCAUUUUUCCUUCAAAACAGAAUAUAUCAGUCUCAUUUUAUCAUUUAUAUAAGAGACAAGUCUGGAAUUGAGAGUAGUGCAAUGUGUUGCAUCUGCACCCAUGCAUACUAAAACCCGCGGUCUGAGUGAAGACUGAAGUCCUCACAGCUAUUGAUGCUCUUUCUGGAAGGACUAUUUCAGUGGAUUUUCUAGCCACGUUCUGGUCUAUAUGGAGCAAUUGUUUGGAAUUUCAGCACAUUCAAGUCUUGGAUGGUCUGUUUCAUGGCAGUUAUGUCAGGGUUGUCUGUCCCAUAUUCCCUAGAGUUCUUCCUCUUUUCCUUUCACACGUAGCUUAUUUGCCACGAUGGCCUAUGUUAUUUUCUUCAGUCCAGUACAGGACCCGCAAGCUCCUCAUGACACCAUCGCUCUUGUCCUGUGUUCCUGCACGUGCGAGGCACUUCCUUCUGUCUUUUGUCCACGUAGUCAAAGUUGACUGUGGGACCACAUUAAAAAGCAGUCUUUUUUUUUUUUACGUUCAGUUCUCAGUUAAUACAGAAACCUUUGAAAAAAUGGAUACUUCUUGAUUGGUUAUUUUUGAAACUGUGGUUGUCUAUAUUAUUAAACAUUUUCUGUGCGUGAAAUAAAUACCUUCUAGAUGUCUCAGACACGAAUACUCUUCCAGCCAAGUACAUAACUAUCUGAUAAAGGCAUACUGGAUCUUUCAACUGUGUACUAUGUGGUUAGUAGACAUAAGCCACAAGUACGUAACGUACCAUUCCUGUAUGUUGUCACACUAAUAAUUCAGGUUUCUUUAGAAUUUCAGGUUCUUUAGCGCAUAAAACAACCUGUAAAAAUAGCUGCCUUGCUGCUAGGAAUUGGAUGGUGUUGGGCUGUUGUCGUGAGUGCUCCGAUGCUGUAAACAAAGUAGAUGUUAAUCCAUGUGACCUAAGAGGGAGGGAGCUGACCUGAAAGCACUAGUGAAUUUCUCCUCACAACAGUCCUGGGAGGUAGGAAGUAAUAUUAUUGCUAUCCCUGCUGAGUAUCUGUGGCACGGAAAGAUUGAUUGAUUUGCCCGAGGUCGGGGAGGAAGUCAGAGGCAGAGGUGGGAUUGCAUCCAGACACAUUCUGCAUCCCGUCAGAUGCCUUCAUCACACACCCCUAACCAACCCUUCCCCACUCAUGAUUUUGCUUGUUUGGCAAGGUGCCCUCAUGGUGGUGUCUCUGAAAGCCUUACUCUGCCUUGCUACCCAGUGUGUGCUUUGUCCAGAAAAAAAA